UAGGGAAUAUUGGGCAAUGGGCGAAAGCCUGACCCAGCCACGCCGCGUGCAGGAAGACGGCCCUCUGGGUUGUAAACUGCUUUUGACUGGGAAGAAAGAAGCUCAUGCGUGAGAAGUUGACGGUACCAGUCGAAUAAGCCACGGCUAACUACGUGCCAGCAGCCGCGGUAAUACGUAGGUGGCGAGCGUUAUCCGGAUUUAUUGGGUCUAAAGGGAGCGUAGGCGGCUGAUUAAGUCAGCGGUGAAAGGUAGCAGCUUAACUGUUUUACAUGCCGUUGAUACUGGUUAGCUUGAGUUGACAGAAGGCAGAUAGAAUUUCUGGUGUAGCGGUGAAAUGCUUAGAUACCAGAAGGAAUACCGAUUGCGAAGGCAGUCUGCUGCAGUCACACUGACGCUGAGG
RNAcentral lists this ribosomal RNA (400 nucleotides) under uncultured bacterium. RNAcentral's name for it is "bacterial SSU rRNA". It matches the Rfam family "Bacterial small subunit ribosomal RNA", at positions 355 to 751 of the family's 1533-position model. The record is from RNAcentral.